AGAGUUUGAUCCUGGCUCAGAACGAACGCUGGCGGCAGGCCUAACACAUGCAAGUCGAACGAGAAGCCACCUUCGGGUGGUGGACAGUGGCAGACGGGUGAGUAACGCGUGNNNNNNNNNNNNNNNNNNNNNNNNNNNNNNNNNNNNGGUGGACAGUGGCAGACGGGUGAGUAACGCGUGGGAACGUGCCUUUCGGUUCGGGACAACCCAGGGAAACUUGGGCUAAUACCGGAUACGCCCUUCGGGGGAAAGAUUCAUUGCCGAAAGAUCGGCCCGCGUCGGAUUAGCUAGUUGGUGGGGUAAUGGCCUACCAAGGCGACGAUCCGUAGCUGGUCUGAGAGGAUGACCAGCCACACUGGGACUGAGACACGGCCCAGACUCCUACGGGAGGCAGCAGUGGGGAAUAUUGGACAAUGGGCGAAAGCCUGAUCCAGCCAUGCCGCGUGGGUGAAGAAGGCCUUAGGGUUGUAAACCCCUUUCAGCGGGGAAGAUAAUGACGGUAUAAUACCCUAGACCGAAUGACGUUACUCGCAGAAUAAGCACCGGCUAACUCUGUGCCAGCAGCCGCGGUAAUACAGAGGGUGCAAGCGUUAAUCGGAUUUACUGGGCGUAAAGCGCGCGUAGGUGGCCAAUUAAGUCAAAUGUGAAAUACCCGGGCUCAACCUGGGCAUUGCCUUCAAAACUGCACGGCUAGAGUAUGGGAGAGGAUGGUAGAAUUCCAGGUGUAGCGGUGAAAUGCGUAGAGAUCUGGAGGAAUACCGAUGGCGAAGGCAGCCAUCUGGCCUAAUACUGACACUGAGGUGCGAAAGCAUGGGGAGCAAACAGGAUUAGAUACCCUGGUAGUCCAUGCCGUAAACGAUGUCUACUAGCCGUUGGGGCCUUUGAGGCUUUAAGUGCCGCAGCUAACGCAUCAAGUUGACCGCCUGGGGAGUACGGUCGCAAGACUAAAACUCAAAUGAAUUGACGGGGGCCCGCACAAGCGGUGGAGCAUGUGGUUUAAUUCGAUGCAACGCGAAGAACCUUACCUGGUCUUGACAUCUAGAGAACUUUCCAGAGACGCGAUUGUGCCUUCGGGAACGCGAACACAGGUGCUGCAUGGCUGUCGUCAGCUCGUGUCGUGAGAUGUUGGGUUAAGUCCCGCAACGAGCGCAACCCUUGUCCUUAGUUGCCAGCACGUAAUGGUGGGAACUCUAGGGAGACUGCCGGUGACAAACCGGAGGAAGGUGGGGAUGACGUCAAGUCAUCAUGGCCCUUACGGCCAGGGCUACACACGUACUACAAUGGUAGGGACAGAGGGCUGCAAACCCGCGAGGGCAAGCCAAUCCCAGAAACCCUAUCUCAGCCCGGAUCGGAGUCUGCAACUCGACUCCGUGAAGUCGGAAUCGCUAGUAAUCGCAGAUCAGCAUU
This 1407-nucleotide ribosomal RNA is filed under the name uncultured bacterium. RNAcentral's name for it is "partial 16S ribosomal RNA". It matches the Rfam family "Bacterial small subunit ribosomal RNA", at positions 8 to 1356 of the family's 1533-position model. The record is from RNAcentral.